Molecule: ribosomal RNA, 422 nt
Filed under: uncultured prokaryote
Description: bacterial SSU rRNA
Rfam family: Bacterial small subunit ribosomal RNA
Source: RNAcentral
UGAGGAAUAUUGGUCAAUGGGCGUAAGCCUGAACCAGCCAUCCCGCGUGCAGGAAGAAGGCGCUAUGCGUCGUAAACUGCUUUUCCAGGGGAAGAAAACCCGCUACGUGUAGCGGCUUGCCGGUACCUUGGGAAUAAGCAUCGGCUAACUCCGUGCCAGCAGCCGCGGUAAUACGGAGGAUGCGAGCGUUAUCCGGAUUUAUUGGGUUUAAAGGGUGCGUAGGCGGAUUAAUAAGUCAGCGGUGAAAACCUUCAGCUUAACUGGAGAACUGCCAUUGAUACUGUUAGUCUUGAGUACGGUCAAGGUAGGCGGAAUGUGUAAUGUAGCGGUGAAAUGCUUAGAUAUUACACAGAACACCGAUUGCGAAGGCAGCUUACUGGGCCAUUACUGACGCUGAGGCACGAAAGCGUGGGGAGCGAACA